AGCGGCGGACGGGUGAGUAAUGCAUAGGAAACUGCCCAGUAGUGGGGGAUAGCCCGGGGAAACCCGGAUUAAUACCGCAUACGCCCUUUGGGGGAAAGCAGGGGAUCUUCGGGCCUUGCGCUAUUGGAUGUGCCUAUGUCGGAUUAGCUAGUUGGUGGGGUAAGAGCCUACCAAGGCGACGAUCCGUAGCUGGUCUGAGAGGAUGAUCAGCCACAUCGGGACUGAGACACGGCCCGAACUCCUACGGGAGGCAGCAGUGGGGAAUAUUGGACAAUGGGGGCAACCCUGAUCCAGCCAUGCCGCGUGUGUGAAGAAGGCUUUCGGGUUGUAAAGCACUUUCAGUGAGGAGGAAAACCCUGCGAUUAAUACUCGUAGAGCUUGACGUUACUCACAGAAGAAGCACCGGCUAACUCCGUGCCAGCAGCCGCGGUAAUACGGAGGGUGCAAGCGUUAAUCGGAAUUACUGGGCGUAAAGCGCGCGUAGGUGGUUUGGUAAGCGAGAUGUGAAAGCCCCGGGCUCAACCUGGGAACGGCAUUUCGAACUGUCAGGCUAGAGUAUGGUAGAGGAGUGUGGAAUUUCCUGUGUAGCGGUGAAAUGCGUAGAUAUAGGAAGGAACACCAGUGGCGAAGGCGGCACUCUGGACCAUACUGACACUGAGGUGCGAAGCGUGAGAAGCAAACAGGAUUAGAUACCCUGGUAGUUCACACGGC
RNAcentral lists this ribosomal RNA (711 nucleotides) under uncultured bacterium. RNAcentral's name for it is "bacterial SSU rRNA". It matches the Rfam family "Bacterial small subunit ribosomal RNA", at positions 94 to 803 of the family's 1533-position model. The record is from RNAcentral.